This 495-nucleotide ribosomal RNA is filed under the name uncultured bacterium. RNAcentral's name for it is "bacterial SSU rRNA". It matches the Rfam family "Bacterial small subunit ribosomal RNA", at positions 903 to 1397 of the family's 1533-position model. The record is from RNAcentral.
AAAGGAAUAGACGGGGGCCCGCACAAGCGGAGGAACAUGUGGUUUAAUUCGAUGAUACGCGAGGAACCUUACCCGGGCUUGAAAUGCAAUCGACGGUAUUGGAAACAUUACUUCCAGCAAUGGCGAUUGUGUAGGUGCUGCAUGGUUGUCGUCAGCUCGUGCCGUGAGGUGUCGGCUUAAGUGCCAUAACGAGCGCAACCCUUAUCAUUAGUUGCCAUCGGGUUAUGCCGGGAACUCUAAUGAGACUGCCACCGUAAGGUGUGAGGAAGGUGGGGAUGACGUCAAAUCAGCACGGCCCUUACGUCCGGGGCGACACACGUGUUACAAUGGGGGGUACAGCGGGCAGCUACCUGGCGACAGGAUGCUAAUCUCUGAAAGCCUCUCUCAGUUCGGAUCGGAGUCUGCAACUCGACUCCGUGAAGCUGGAUUCGCUAGUAAUCGCGCAUCAGCCAUGGCGCGGUGAAUACGUUCCCGGGCCUUGUACACACCGCCCGU